RNAcentral lists this ribosomal RNA (612 nucleotides) under Betaproteobacteria bacterium. RNAcentral's name for it is "bacterial SSU rRNA". It matches the Rfam family "Bacterial small subunit ribosomal RNA", at positions 920 to 1533 of the family's 1533-position model. The record is from RNAcentral. Lineage: Bacteria; Pseudomonadati; Pseudomonadota; Betaproteobacteria.
CCCGCACAAGCGGUGGAUGAUGUGGAUUAAUUCGAUGCAACGCGAAAAACCUUACCUACCCUUGACAUGUCGAGAACUUUUCAGAGAUGGAUUGGUGCCCGAAAGGGAACUCGAACACAGGUGCUGCAUGGCUGUCGUCAGCUCGUGUCGUGAGAUGUUGGGUUAAGUCCCGCAACGAGCGCAACCCUUGUCAUUAGUUGCUACGAAAGGGCACUCUAAUGAGACUGCCGGUGACAAACCGGAGGAAGGUGGGGAUGACGUCAAGUCCUCAUGGCCCUUAUAGGUGGGGCUACACACGUCAUACAAUGGCUGGUACAAAGGGUUGCCAACCCGCGAGGGGGAGCUAAUCCCAUAAAGCCAGUCGUAGUCCGGAUCGCAGUCUGCAACUCGACUGCGUGAAGUCGGAAUCGCUAGUAAUCGUGGAUCAGAAUGUCACGGUGAAUACGUUCCCGGGUCUUGUACACACCGCCCGUCACACCAUGGGAGCGGGUUCUGCCAGAAGUAGUUAGCCUAACCGCAAGGAGGGCGAUUACCACGGCAGGGUUCGUGACUGGGGUGAAGUCGUAACAAGGUAGCCGUAUCGGAAGGUGCGGCUGGAUCACCUCCUUUCUG